Molecule: ribosomal RNA, 282 nt
Filed under: uncultured bacterium
Lineage: Bacteria
Description: partial 16S ribosomal RNA
Rfam family: Bacterial small subunit ribosomal RNA
Source: RNAcentral
UCCCUACGGGGCGCAGCAGUAGGGAAUCUUCCACAAUGGGCGAAAGCCUGAUGGAGCAACGCCGCGUGGGUGAAGAAGGUCUUCGGAUCGUAAAACCCUGUUGUUAGAGAAGAAAGUGCGUGAGAGUAACUGUUCACGUUUCGACGGUAUCUAACCAGAAAGCCACGGCUAACUACGUGCCAGCAGCCGCGGUAAUACGUAGGUGGCAAGCGUUAUCCGGAUUUAUUGGGCGUUAAGAGAACGCAGGCGGUCUUUUAAGUCUUAUUUGUAAGCCUUCGGCCU